CUUGCCUUGGAAGGCAAACAACAGACCCUACCUUAUAAGUAAGGCCUUUCCUUUAUUCAGCAGAGGGAGGCACACUCUAAAAGGCUGGAAAAUUUUCUGCAUUAACUUGGGUCAAAACUGCUUGGGCUUACACUCUAGGAGUACACUAUCGAAGUCAUUUUUUACAUCUCAAAACCUCUUGUUUUGAUCUGGGUUCAAAGAAGUGGUAUAAGGAGGUUGAAUUGUUGUGUUGAUCUGCUAAAGUGCAUCUUCUUAUGCUACUGAUUCUCUCAAUUUUCUUUUGCUCUAAUUUUCCCUUGUAUUUCUUGGAUCUCC
Molecule: long non-coding RNA, 315 nt
Filed under: Nicotiana benthamiana
Lineage: Eukaryota; Viridiplantae; Streptophyta; Magnoliopsida; Solanales; Solanaceae
Description: long non-coding RNA (NBEN_LNC008947)
Source: RNAcentral